Long non-coding RNA from Cotesia glomerata, 253 nucleotides. RefSeq lists it as uncharacterized. The transcript is spliced from 3 exons. Lineage: Eukaryota; Metazoa; Arthropoda; Insecta; Hymenoptera; Braconidae. The record is from RefSeq and is a predicted model, not a curated record.
AAAUUGUGAAUGAAAACCAACUUUAAAUUCAGUGGUGAUUUAGAUUGAGACAUAAUUACAUUUGUAUUAAUCAAAAUACUUGUUCUUAAAGGAAUUAUUAUUUAUGGAAUUAGACUGGACUGAAGACAAAAGCUGAGUUCAAGUGGGAAAAAUAAUAAUGGUGUCAUAAUCAUGAUGGAGAUUAAAAUCUUGGAAUAUCUUACAGCUGAUGAAUGCUUAGCUGUUAUUCAUCGAAAUGCAAGUUUGAAUCUAC